GCUCCUGUAGUCUAGCCCGGCCAAUGACGCGGGCCUUUCGAGCCUGAGACCCGGGUUCAAAUCCCGGCAGGAGCA
RNAcentral lists this transfer RNA (75 nucleotides) under Candidatus Nanoarchaeia archaeon. RNAcentral describes it as "tRNA-Glu". It matches the Rfam family "tRNA". Rfam says of the family: Transfer RNA (tRNA) molecules are approximately 80 nucleotides in length. Their secondary structure includes four short double-helical elements and three loops (D, anti-codon, and T loops). Further hydrogen bonds mediate the characteristic L-shaped molecular structure. tRNAs have two regions of fundamental functional importance: the anti-codon, which is responsible for specific mRNA codon recognition, and the 3' end, to which the tRNAs corresponding amino acid is attached (by aminoacyl-tRNA synthetases). tRNAs cope with the degeneracy of the genetic code in two manners: having more than one tRNA (with a specific anti-codon) for a particular amino acid; and 'wobble' base-pairing, i.e. permitting non-standard base-pairing at the 3rd anti-codon position. Lineage: Archaea; Nanobdellati; Nanobdellota; Candidatus Nanoarchaeia. The record is from RNAcentral.